This is a long non-coding RNA of Choloepus didactylus (southern two-toed sloth), 2019 nucleotides long. RefSeq lists it as uncharacterized. Lineage: Eukaryota; Metazoa; Chordata; Mammalia; Pilosa; Megalonychidae. The transcript is spliced from 3 exons. The record is from RefSeq and is a predicted model, not a curated record.
CCAGGACAAGACUCUCUGGAAGACGUGGUAUAACUCCUGGCUUCCGUGAGGGCAGCGCUGGGUGCAGGGACGGGCGGAGCGGGCAGGAGCUCUGGAGCACCAGGAGGUGGGAGAACCAAGGUCUGUAGGUCACACAGCCUUGUAAAUGGCCAACCUGGGACUUGAAGUGGUAUCUCGUAGGCUCCAUCCCUCCAUCACCACAGUCUCCAAGAGGCACUCCUCUCAAGCUGGAGGAAUUCGUGAGUCUGCAGUGGUCGCGGGAAAGAGGGCAAGAAAUCAAGCAGGAGACGACAACGGGGCUGGGUCUUGACAGGUUUGGGUGCCAGGCCAAGGAGCUUGGACUUCAUUUUAUGAACAGUUGGGAGGCAGGAGAGGACUUUUUUCCUCUUUGUUAAUGAAGUCAGAUGUCUCUGUCACAUCCUUUACUUUUUUUAAGUUGAGAUAUCAAAUGCAUAAAGGACACUGGACUUAAGUGAACAAUUAAGUGAACUUUUCCUGUAUCUACUUCCAUAAAAUGUCUACCCAUGUCAAGGCACAGAUCACUUCCAGUAUCACAGAAUGUUCCCAUAUGUUCCUUUCCCGUCAAAACUGCCUCCCCCAAGACACUGCUCUGACUUCUGUCACUAUCAAUUAGUUUUACCUUUUUUUGACUUUAUACAAACUAAAUCGUAGAGUUUCUGGCCUGUGGCCUCCAGAGACGACUGCAAUAUCAUAAAGAGUGUGUGUGCACAGACCUUUACAACUGCUUCAACUGAUAGACUAUGGCAGAAGUGUCGCUGUGCAAUCUCUGGGUGGAUCAUAAAAAUGCCACAUACUGGACCACACCGUUUUGGGACAGUGACACUCGGAGCCCAGCCCCCAUGCCCCGAGGAAGCUCCAGCAGCCUGGUAGAGUCCCACCGGAGAGGAAUCCACCGCCCGGGCUGAGCUCCCAGCACCUGCCAGCAACAACCUGCCAGUGUGCAAGAGAGCCAUCGGGAAAGAGCUCCUCCGCCAGCCCCAGUCGCGCCACCCCGAGGUUGCCAUCGUUGAAGCAGAGAUGAGUCGCCCACUGCAUCCUGCUCAGAUUGCACCUUGUGAGCAAAUUAAGUUUUCUCUGUGCCACUAAGUUUGGGAUGGUUUGUUACGCUGUGAUAGACAACCACAACAUGAUCUGUGAGAGCAUUUUAAGGAGAAGAGUGAUGUUUAAGUCUUUUACCCUGUAUAUAAUGAAAAACUCAACACAACCAGCUUAAGGAGUAAAAAGAGAAAGAAAGAAAAGAGGAGUACGGAGCCUCCUAGCUCAAAGAGGGUUAAUUCGGGCAUGGUUAGAUCCAGGCCUUCCUCAGCCACCAGGACCCUGCCUAUGCAUUGGCUCAUUCUCUGUCUCCAUGUGGUGGCAAGAGGCCUGCCAGCACUCAAGGCUACAUGCUCCCAGCCUCAAACAUGAGCAGAAGAGGGCUGCCCCUCUCUCCACAGCCCCAGCCUGGGUCCCCUCCCAUCUCCUUGCCUCUGAUUGGGCCAUGGGCCCAUAUUGAACCGAUGAUGAUGUCUAUGCUUGAACUGCUCAAGCCUGAGUCCCAUGUGGGCCCCUGGAGCAGGGCUGCAGUGGGCAUUGGGAGGGCAAUUCCCAGGGAAAGAGAGUAGGGGGCUGGGGGGCAAAACGAUGUCCACCAGGAACAUUUUAAGCACAUGGCUCUGGUCAGCUUAGGGCCAGAGCUCACCUGUGAGGGACACAGAGCAGGAGAGUGUGAUGGCUUCAUGCCAACUUUCCACAGCUGGUAACACUUGCAGGAUUGAGUCCCGCCAUCCCUGGGUCUCUUGUGUCCUGUUCCCAUUCAAAGAACAGCAUGCUCAAAACCCAGCCCUGAGAUGAUGAGGAAAAAUAAUAUUUAAAGGCACCUAUUAAAGAUACUCAGAGGGCCCUUCGAAUGUCAAACAGCUGCGAGCAAACUCUAAUUUGAUGAUCUAUGUACUAAUGAAUCCCAGACAUGCAGAUUAAAUUCUCUUUAAAUUGCACGUGGUUUUAAAAUGUAUUUCU